AGCGAAAUGACUCUGGCCCAGUUU
Molecule: non-coding RNA, 24 nt
Filed under: Drosophila melanogaster (fruit fly)
Lineage: Eukaryota; Metazoa; Arthropoda; Insecta; Diptera; Drosophilidae
Source: RNAcentral